This 2901-nucleotide ribosomal RNA is filed under the name Clostridium perfringens. RNAcentral describes it as "Bacterial large subunit ribosomal RNA". It matches the Rfam family "Bacterial large subunit ribosomal RNA". The record is from RNAcentral. Lineage: Bacteria; Bacillati; Bacillota; Clostridia; Eubacteriales; Clostridiaceae.
GUCAAGCUACAAAGGGCGCAUGGUGAAUGCCUUGGCAUCAGGAGCCGAUGAAGGACGUGAUAAGCUGCGAUAAGCUUCGGGUAGGCGCACAUAGCCUGAGAUCCGAAGAUCUCCGAAUGAGGAAACUCACAUGGGAAACCCCAUGUAUCAUUAAGUGAAUACAUAGCUUAAUGAAGGUAACCCAGGGAACUGAAACAUCUAAGUACCUGGAGGAAGAGAAAGAAAAAUCGAUUUUCUUAGUAGCGGCGAGCGAAAGGGAAAGAGCCCAAACCGGAAACUUGUUUCCGGGGUUGUGGACAUAGCAUGAAAGUGGAGGCUAUUGUAACUGAAGAGAACUGGAAAGUUCCACCGUAGAAGGUAAUAGUCCUGUAAGUGAAACGAGAAGACCACGAGUUAUGAUCCAGAGUACCACGAGACACGUGAAACCUUGUGGGAAGCAGGGAGGACCACCUCCCAAGGCUAAAUACUACCUGAUGACCGAUAGUGAAGCAGUACCGUGAGGGAAAGGUGAAAAGAACCCCGGGAGGGGAGUGAAAUAGAACCUGAAACCGUGUGCCUACAACCGCUCAGAGCCCCUUAUGAGGGUGAUGAGGUGCUUUUUGUAGAACGAGCCAACGAGUUACGGUAUGUAGCAAGGUUAAGUACUUAAGGUACGGAGCCGAAGGGAAACCGAGUCUGAAUAGGGCGACUAGUUGCAUGCCGUAGACCCGAAACCGGGUGACCUAUCCAUGGCCAGGUUGAAGCGAGGGUAAAACCUCGUGGAGGACCGAACCACGUUGCUGUUGAAAAAGCAUGGGAUGAGCUGUGGAUAGCGGAGAAAUUCCAAUCGAACCCGGAGAUAGCUGGUUCUCUCCGAAAUAGCUUUAGGGCUAGCGUCGAGUAUGAGUAGUGGAGGUAGAGCACUGAAUGGGCUAGGGGGCAUAGCGCUUACCGAACCUUAUCAAACUCCGAAUGCCACAUACUUUGAGCUCGGCAGUCAGACUACGAAUGAUAAGAUCCGUGGUCAAAAGGGAAACAGCCCAGAUCGUCAGCUAAGGUCCCAAAGUGUAAGUUAAGUGGGAAAGGAUGUGAGAUUUCUAAGACAACUAGGAUGUUGGCUUAGAAGCAGCCAUUCAUUAAAAGAGUGCGUAAUAGCUCACUAGUCGAGAGAUCUUGCGCCGAAAAUGUAACGGGGCUAAACUUACCACCGAAGCUACGGGCUUGAACUUAGUUCAAGCGGUAGGAGAGCGUCGUAACCGGGCUGAAGUCGUACCGUAAGGAGCGGUGGACUGGUUACGAGUGAGAAUGUUGGCAUCAGUAGCGAGAUGUGGGUGAGAAUCCCACAGGCCGAAAACCUAAGGUUUCCUCAGGAAGGUUCGUCCGCUGAGGGUUAGUCGGGACCUAAGCCGAGGCCGAAAGGCGUAGGUGAUGGACAACUGGUUGAUAUUCCAGUACCACUACCAUCGUUAUUAUCGAUGGCGUGACGCAGGAGGAUAGUGUGUGCUAGCUAUUGGAUGCUAGUCUAAGCGUUUAGGCAGUGAGAGUAGGCAAAUCCGCUCUCAUAAUGCUGAGGCGUGAUGGGGAAGGUUCUACGGAACCGAAGUACAUGAUUCCACGCUGCCAAGAAAAGCGUCUAGAGAGAGAAGUAGUGCCCGUACCGCAAACCGACACAGGUAGGUGAGGAGAGAAUCCUAAGGCCGGCGGAAGAAUUACAGUUAAGGAACUCGGCAAAUUGACCCCGUAAGUUCGCGAGAAGGGGUGCCUACGAGAGUAGGCCGCAGAGAAUAGGCCCAAGCAACUGUUUAGCAAAAACACAGGUCUCUGCUAAAGCGUAAGCUGAUGUAUAGGGGCUGACGCCUGCCCGGUGCUGGAAGGUUAAGGGGAACACUUAGCGCAAGCGAAGGUGUGAACUUAAGCCCCAGUAAACGGCGGCCGUAACUAUAACGGUCCUAAGGUAGCGAAAUUCCUUGUCAGGUAAGUUCUGACCCGCACGAAUGGCGUAAUGACUUGGGCACUGUCUCAACUGUAAAUCCGGCGAAGUUGUAGUGCGAGUGAAGAUGCUCGCUACCCGCGAUUGGACGGAAAGACCCCGUAGAGCUUUACUGUAGCUUAGCAUUGAGUUUUGGUAUUGUCUGUACAGGAUAGGUGGGAGACUAGGAAACCAGGGCGUCAGCCUUGGUGGAGUCAACCUUGGGAUACCACCCUGACAGUACUGAAAUUCUAACUGGCGGCCAUGAAUCUGGUCACAGGACAUUGUUAGGUGGGCAGUUUGACUGGGGCGGUCGCCUCCUAAAAAGUAACGGAGGCGCCCAAAGGUUCCCUCAGAACGGUCGGAAAUCGUUCGAAGAGUGCAAAGGCAGAAGGGAGCCUGACUGCGACACCCACAAGUGGAGCAGGGACGAAAGUCGGGCUUAGUGAUCCGGUGGUACCUCGUGGGAGGGCCAUCGCUCAACGGAUAAAAGCUACCUCGGGGAUAACAGGCUGAUCUCCCCCAAGAGUCCACAUCGACGGGGAGGUUUGGCACCUCGAUGUCGGCUCGUCGCAUCCUGGGGCUGAAGUAGGUCCCAAGGGUUGGGCUGUUCGCCCAUUAAAGCGGCACGCGAGCUGGGUUCAGAACGUCGUGAGACAGUUCGGUCCCUAUCCGUCGCGGGCGUAGGAAAUUUGAGAGGAGCUGUCCUUAGUACGAGAGGACCGGGAUGGACUGACCUCUGGUGUACCAGUUGUUCCGCCAGGAGCACAGCUGGGUAGCUAAGUCGGGAAUGGAUAAACGCUGAAAGCAUCUAAGCGUGAAGCCAACCUCAAGAUGAGAUUUCCCAUAGCGUAAGCUAGUAAGAUCCCUUGAAGAACACAAGGUUGAUAGGUCGGGGGUGUAAGCAUGGUAACAUGUUCAGCUGACCGAUACUAAUAGAUCGAGGGCUUGAC